This is a non-coding RNA of Mycobacterium intermedium, 86 nucleotides long. Lineage: Bacteria; Bacillati; Actinomycetota; Actinomycetes; Mycobacteriales; Mycobacteriaceae. The record is from Rfam.
CGGCGUCGUUCGUGAGGGCGGCGCUGACGGGGCAGAAGUCAGCAGAGGCCGUAGUACCGGCGGGAAUCAGAUGUGCCGGGAAGGGC